CAGUGAGAGACAGAGAAACUAAUUCAUUAGCCUUUUAUAUGGAGGGAAUUAGGGUGGUUAUAUUUAAAGAGAACGGUACUUUCUCACAGGAAUACUGACUCUUUAUUAGCUGAUGAAGGCAGUGACUUUGAAGAUAGCUUCAAUCGCAAUGUGAAGAAGAAAGCAGCAAAACGACCACCGAAAACAACACCGGUGGCAAACAACGAAAGAAAGGGUCCCGAGUGGUACAUCGUCAUAGCCGGAAACAGUCAGAGCCACCAGCCAAUGAUCUUUUCAAUGCUGUGAAAGCUGCCAAAAGUGACAUGCAGGUGCUGCCCGACGCCCCAUGGGGAGUCCCUCAGCUGUCCCACCAGAGACAGAGCUGCAAGGGGGCCUGGCAGGUGUCAGGCCACACUGGGCUGGACGGGG
RNAcentral lists this long non-coding RNA (408 nucleotides) under Homo sapiens (human). RNAcentral describes it as "HSALNT0342403". The record is from RNAcentral. Lineage: Eukaryota; Metazoa; Chordata; Mammalia; Primates; Hominidae.